CAUGGCUUUUUGUUAUUUAUAUAAGGUCUAACCUGCCCAAUGAUAAUUUAUUUAAUGGCCGCGGUAUUUUGACCGUGCAAAGGUAGCAUAAUCAUUAGUUUUUUAAUUGAAAGCUGGAAUGAAAGGUUGAAUGAGAAAAUAACUGUCUUUAUUAUAUUUAAUUAGAAUUUUAUUUUUAAGUUAAAAAGCUUAAAUUUUAUUUAAAGACGAGAAGACCCUUUAGAGUUUUAUAAAAGAUUGAUUUUUGAUUUUUUAGUAUUAAUUAUAAUAAGGUUGGAUUUUAUUUGAUUGGGGCGAUUGAAAAAUUUAAAAAACUUUUUUUUUUACUUAACAUUAAUUUAUGAAUACUUGAUCCUUAAAUUAAGAUUAUAAGAUUAAAUUACCUAAGGGAUAACAGCGUUAUUUUUUUUGAGAGUUCUUAUCGAAAAAAAAGAUUGCGACCUCGAUGUUGGAUUAAAAUUAAAUUAUGGUGUAGAGGCUAUAAC
Molecule: ribosomal RNA, 485 nt
Filed under: Brassicogethes salvan
Lineage: Eukaryota; Metazoa; Arthropoda; Insecta; Coleoptera; Nitidulidae
Description: partial large subunit ribosomal RNA
Rfam family: Bacterial large subunit ribosomal RNA
Source: RNAcentral